RNAcentral lists this ribosomal RNA (549 nucleotides) under uncultured bacterium. Its description in RNAcentral is "bacterial SSU rRNA". It matches the Rfam family "Bacterial small subunit ribosomal RNA", at positions 355 to 895 of the family's 1533-position model. The record is from RNAcentral.
UAGGGAAUCUUCGGCAAUGGACGGAAGUCUGACCGAGCAACGCCGCGUGAGUGAAGAAGGUUUUCGGAUCGUAAAGCUCUGUUGUAAGAGAAGAACGAGUGUGAGAGUGGAAAGUUCACACUGUGACGGUAUCUUACCAGAAAGGGACGACUAACUACGUGCCAGCAGCCGCGGUAAUACGUAGGUCCCGAGCGUUGUCCGGAUUUAUUGGGCGUAAAGCGAGCGCAGGCGGUUAGAUAAGUCUGAAGUUAAAGGCUGUGGCUUAACCAUAGUAGGCUUUGGAAACUGUUUAACUUGAGUGCAAGAGGGGAGAGUGGAAUUCCAUGUGUAGCGGUGAAAUGCGUAGAUAUAUGGAGGAACACCGGUGGCGAAAGCGGCUCUCUGGCUUGUAACUGACGCUGAGGCUCGAAAGCGUGGGGAGCAAACAGGAUUAGAUACCCUGGUAGUCCACGCUGUAAACGAUGAGUGCUAGGUGUUAGACCCUUUCCGGGGUUUAGUGCCGUAGCUAACGCAUUAAGCACUCCGCCUGGGGAGUACGACCGCAAGGUU